This is a non-coding RNA of Pelobates cultripes (western spadefoot toad), 180 nucleotides long. Lineage: Eukaryota; Metazoa; Chordata; Amphibia; Anura; Pelobatidae. The record is from the annotation of a GenBank genome assembly.
AGUACUCUGUGACUGAAUGGUUUUAAAAUCUGUUCUUAUCAGUUUAAUAUCUGAUACGUCCCCUAUCUGGGGACCAUAUAUUAAAUGGAUUUUUGGGACAGGAGAUGGAAGAAGAGCUUGCUCUGUCCACUCCACGCAUUGACCUGGUAUUGCAGUACCUCCAGGACCGGUGCACCUCUC